CCCUUAGAUGUUCUGGGCCGCACGCGCGCUACACUGAUGCAUUCAACGAGUCUAAAACCUGGUCUGAUAGGGCUGGGUAAUCUUUUGAAAGUGCAUCGUGAUUGGGAUAGAUGAUUGCAAUUCUUCAUCUUCAACGAGGAAUGCCUAGUAAACGCAAGUCAUCAGCUUGCAUUGAUUACGUCCCUGCCCUUUGUACACACCGCCCGUCGCUCCUACCGAUUGAAUGAUCCGAUGAAUACCAUGGAUUGAGAGUACGAAUAGGUUCGCUUAUUUCUGCUGCUCGAGAAGUGGAGUAAAUCUUNUNAUUUAGNGGAAGGAGAANUCGUANCA
RNAcentral lists this ribosomal RNA (330 nucleotides) under uncultured eukaryote. RNAcentral's name for it is "partial 18S ribosomal RNA". It matches the Rfam family "Eukaryotic small subunit ribosomal RNA", at positions 1470 to 1796 of the family's 1831-position model. The record is from RNAcentral.